UCUGGGGAGUAGUGUUAUCUUGAAGGGCCUGGGGAUGAACUUUAUUUAAACAGGGAAAACUCUAGGUAUCAGCUCUAGGAAAAUAGAGCUAGAAUUACAGGGUCAGCUCUCAAGGAAACAGAACUGGAAUCUAUACAUGGACUAAGAUAACCCGCUGAUUACACAGCCCACCAGGGAGAACUCUAUACACUCCCAACAGGGAGAAAACAGGAGGAACAUGAUUCAGAAAGAAGACAAGCAGCCUGCACCUCUCCAAGAUUGAAACUCAUCAAUGAUACCCUCAAACACCGUGUCAGCAUAAUUCUGCAAUGUCAAAUAUCCUGAUAUUCCAUUCUUUCCAAAAAAAUAUUAACAUCAGCCUACAGUUAUCAGGAAACUUAUAUAGUGAACUACCUACAGUGUAAAUAAAACUAUUAGUACAAAGCAAGGGUACAAUUAUUCUACCAUCUAUACACACUCCAAAGUACACACGAAUGCAGCUACUUUUAUUUCUUUUUCUAAGUAGGCGAUUAGGUGUGCAGAACGAUGCAUCGCACAACAUUUAUCAAAAAUAUGUUUCUUUUCAGAGCCCUUGCAGAAACCCAAAUUAUGAAUGCUUUGAACAAAAAUAAUAGCAGGUGCUUCCACAGAAUAGCAGAAUAGUACCCCACACUGAAAUAGGGUAUAAACUAUUUGUUCGCUAGCAUGUACCACUAUCUAUACUAGUUUAGAUGGUAGAAAAUGAGUAGAUAGUUCGCCUCUUUCUAAAUAAUUUUAUUUCCAGACCAACACUUCAAUUUGUUGCAGACGAACAGUUUUGAUCUAAAAACACAAAGCAUGCUAGGAGCACACUAUAUAGGGUGUGAUGUAUCCAGGGAAGGUGGCAACAACUGGAAAUAAAUUGGACCAUGUGGUAAGAUAGAAGCUUAGUGAAUCAUUACUGUCGUAAUAAAGGUGCUACAUAAUUCUCAUAUAUAGGUCAGAAUGUUACUGAAAAGAUAGUAGAGUACUUACAACUACAAGGCACGUAGAUUUAAAGAAAAUAUAAGAGAUUUGACUGAACCAAGGACAAAUCUUCUCCCAUGAGAUUGAUUUGAUAAAUUACUGAAACUGGAAUUAUCUUAGAGGGUUCAAUCAAAUACUAGAAGAACUGAUGAUAGAGAGAUUAAUCCCAUAAGGCCUAAAUGCACAUGGAAAGAAGUAUGCUUUCUCAAAAUUAUCUACAUCCAGACCAUGGUUAUCAAAACAUUGCAGCUUGUAGUCCAGACUGCAAUAUAGCAAAUUCAAUCUGCAUACCCUCCUAGAACUAAUUAUUACAUGUACAACUUGCCAGAAUAGAGUUUAGGUAUCUAGGAUCAGCAAUCAAGGUUCUGAAGAUGUUCGACAUCUGGUCAAAGUCUGACUGGUUGACUCUAUGCCUUUGAGAGCUGUUGAACAGAAACAUCGGGUGGAAGAUUUGCCUACGGAAGUUACAUGUAGCAAAUCAAAUAGGAACAAUACAUUAUUCCUGGGAUAAACUCACGGAAAGAAUUUGGAACCAAAAUCCAAUUUCUUUUGCUCGCUAAUUUUGGUCUACACAAGAGAACAAUCAAAACCAAUCUACUGUAUUUUUUUCUAUUUUUCUUUAUGAGGCCUUUGUUGGCAUGUCUACAUGAACCAACAAGAAGCACAUCUCAAACCGGGCUGCAAGUGCUUGAUUGCUAAAUAAAUGUUAAGCACGAUUCAAGAACAAAAUCACCUUUUUCAUUGCUCUAAACCUCUAGUUGCCUGCCCAGUCCGCCACACUGUUAUUGGCGAGUCACCUCUUCUUUGUCUGCCCGUUAUUGGUUGAUUUCGGGGCCACGAUGUGGUUCCAGCCACCUACAGUAGCCUCUGUCCAGAAUCUGCGAGAUGUCGCUCACCCGCGGUCGACGUUCUUCCUUCUCUUUUGCUGGUGCAUUUGGAAGCAUCGCACCGACAUUGUGUUCCUAAGAAAAUGGAGAGUCUUAAUGGAGUUACAGAGUCUUAAAUGCAAGAAUGAAAACACAUGUAAGCUUAUACAGUAAAGUCUAAAUAACAUCUUUCGACAAAAGAGGCUCAAGCCUUGUGUCAUAAGAAGCAAAGAUAGUUCACUGGGUACCGGUUCUUAAAGGAACUCCUGAAGAUAACAUACAAAGUGCAACCGAAGCUGCAAAAAUCCCCACGUAGCAAAACACACCUAAUAACCUAGGGAAGACACCCAACACACGCACCAAGUAACAAUGAUCAAAUAGAAAAGUAGUUAUAGGAACCUAAGAAAGAAAAGGAAACAUCGCAUCAGAACUCCUAGAUAUUGCAAUGAUCUCAAGAGGAAAAUUGAACGGCAUGUUUUUUCAAUUGACUAGAAAGAAUUAGAAUUAUGUGAAGUUAUGUCCAACCUCCAGAACAGAGUCACUUCUCAAAAUAACAAGUUAUAAUGAUUGAGAGAAAACACUGCUGAACUACAAUUACAGAUAAACAAAGAGGAGGAGAGUUCAUCAAAGCACUCAGGAGCUUUACGCAAACCUAUUCCGGCAGAUUGUUCUGCCUCCUUUUUUUAGCGAACCAGAGAAUAAUCCUUAGGCCAAACUAGCGAUUUGGGAAGAGAAAGCAAUUUAGGAAGAGCAUAGCAAAGUGAAACGUAGGUGGAAGUAGAUUGGAAAUUUGCAACUGAUAGAGUCAGAUCUGGGGUUGCUCACCUCAACCCGUGCACUCACACCCAACCAAAAUUCAAUCCAAAUGGCAAGCAACGCCUUCACGUAGCAGCACAAGCACGGGCACGCACUUGAGCGCCGCUACAAUCACUCGCCAUAGCUCCGCCGCGACGACCACGCAUGACGCCGCCCAAGACCUAGGCAGACGCCGCACACCACGCCGCGCCAACUGCCCAGCGACCACCACAACAUCGAGACCACGCCGCCGAGUAGCGCGCCGCCCCGGCAGCCAGCCAACCGAUGGCUUCACUCAGAUCCAAAUCGCCGAGCACCACGCUGCCGUCUCUUGCGUGCUGGUCACCGCCGAUACUCACAAACCGUUCGGAGGCGCGGCUCUCUUUUUUUCAGAAAAAGGAUGGGCAAGGGGGUAUAUUCGAGUCAAUGCAUAAACGUAAAAUUACUUGCAUCCCG
RNAcentral lists this long non-coding RNA (3101 nucleotides) under Triticum aestivum (bread wheat). Its description in RNAcentral is "long non-coding RNA (TAES_LNC020957)". Lineage: Eukaryota; Viridiplantae; Streptophyta; Magnoliopsida; Poales; Poaceae. The record is from RNAcentral.